UGCUUCGUUUUGGAGAUAUUCCAUUUUGUAUGAUAUGCAAAGGACCAACUCUCUACAUCACACAUGCAUAUAAUGACUUACUUUAAAAUGUUAUAUAAUUUUGUCACUAUCAAAUAAAUUCGCUCAAAAUGAAUGAUGAGCACGAGAUUUGUCCACAACAACACCCAUGUAGGUUUUCUACUGAUUGUGUUUAGUCGUAUUAAAGAUAUACAGCUUUCAG
Molecule: long non-coding RNA, 220 nt
Filed under: Paramuricea clavata
Lineage: Eukaryota; Metazoa; Cnidaria; Anthozoa; Malacalcyonacea; Plexauridae
Source: RNAcentral